AACGAACGCUGGCGGCAUGCCUAACACAUGCAAGUCGAACGAGACCUUCGGGUCUAGUGGCGCACGGGUGCGUAACGCGUGGGAACCUGCCUUUAGGUUCGGAAUAACUCAGAGAAAUUUGAGCUAAUACCGGAUAAUGUCUUCGGACCAAAAGAUUUAUCGCCUUUAGAUGGGCCCGCGUAAGAUUAGCUAGUUGGUGGGUAAAGGCCUACCAAGGCGACGAUCUUUAGCUGGUCUGAGAGGAUGAUCAGCCACACUGGGACUGAGACACGGCCCAGACUCCUACGGGAGGCAGCAGUGGGGAAUAUUGGACAAUGGGCGAAAGCCUGAUCCAGCAAUGCCGCGUGAGUGAUGAAGGCCUUAGGGUUGUAAAGGCUCUUUUACCCGUAGAUGAUAAUGACAGUAUCGGGAGAAUAAGCUCCGGCUAACUCCGUGCCAGCAGCCGC
Molecule: ribosomal RNA, 446 nt
Filed under: uncultured bacterium
Lineage: Bacteria
Description: bacterial SSU rRNA
Rfam family: Bacterial small subunit ribosomal RNA
Source: RNAcentral